UCGAUUGUUCUUCAGUCUCUUACUCUGUGAUUCUUCUUCGAUUCUUCUUCAGUUCGGUGAUUCUUCUUCGAUUUUGAGCACAGCUCCGUGAUUUAUCUCCAUGGAUUUGGAACUAUUCGUCUUCUUCGAUCAGAGGUCUUAAGCCCGGGCUCUCGAUUCUUCUUCACUCUCUUACUCUGUGAUUGUUCUUCGAUUCUUCUUCUGGUUGGUGAUUCAUCUCGGGAUUGCGAUUUGGAAGUUCCAUUUUGAGCACAGCGCCGUGAUUUAUCUCUGUGGAUUUGAAACUCUUUCGCUUCUUCGAUCAGAGAAUGAGCUCAAGGCCAGGUGGGAUGUAGACAAGUCAAUGCUAGAAGAAUCAAAGAAUGUAGCUGAGAAUAAGUACAAUGAAAUUAAUGAACAGGUCAUUGAUUGAUUUGCUUCAUGAAUAUGCUUAUGAUGUCCAGUAGACUCUUUUAUGCACAUCACAUAUCACAUAUUUAUGUACAUAACUGUAUGCAUGUAUAUUUAGUCAAUGCCAUAAAUCAAUUAAAAUAAGUAUGAAAACGUAUCCAAACUCCUCUUCAUUUGGCUAGAAGUUGUGCAAGAGCAAUGCAUGUCAUUAUAAUUUGUAAGUCACAUUCGUAACUCACAUUGAGAGAGGAAGAAGAUAACAAAUAAAUUAAGUGGGAAGUCAGAGAGAGAGAGAGAGAGAGAGAGAGGUCUUUGAGAACCAACUUUAAAGUAGGAGGGACCUGCAAGAGGUUGUUUUCUCUUUAUGUUGUAGUAUGGAUUUAGGGGUUCUGAAUCAGAUAUGCAGUAAAAAACAGUGUCAUGAUAUUAAUUGGAUGUUGUGCCUUGUCUAUUGUUUUUCUUUCUUGGAACUGCUAUGUGGGUUGAAUGUUUGGAUAGGUUAAAAUCUGCAAGAUCAUAAGAUUUGUGUUUAAUUCAUCUCAUGGUGAUGAUGGCAAAUUGAACAGUUAAUUCACUUCUUUCAUAAAUUUUAGCAAUUUAUUCAUUUUAUAGCAAUCAUGCAACAAAAAAGGCACAUAAUAAUAUUGUUAAAUACAAUUUUAAGAAUUUGGGUGAUGGAAACUCCAGAAGGUGGUGUUAAGAAUUUGGGUGAUAGUUCACCUUUG
Molecule: non-coding RNA, 1115 nt
Organism: Camellia sinensis
Lineage: Eukaryota; Viridiplantae; Streptophyta; Magnoliopsida; Ericales; Theaceae
Source: RefSeq, a predicted model, not a curated record